This is a long non-coding RNA of Melospiza melodia melodia, 943 nucleotides long. RefSeq lists it as uncharacterized. The record is from RefSeq and is a predicted model, not a curated record. NCBI's taxonomy places the organism in Eukaryota, Metazoa, Chordata, Aves, Passeriformes, Passerellidae. The transcript has 8 exons.
AUGGCGUCCAGCACGUGCUCCCGGCCCCCGCCCAGCGACCACACCUGCCACACAGGGACACUGCGUUUACUGCCAGCCUGCCUGAAGGACAGUUCACACACAGCUCCUGUCUCCUGACUGCAAGGAAAACGCCAAAAGGAUGAGGAGCCCAUCUGAGCAAGAUGAACCUCAAGAUGGUACAAACUGUCACACUGCAGCUCAAAAAGGCAGCACAUAGCUCUGGUGGAUUAAAAGUAAAAGUAAGAGACCAUGGCAGAAGAAAUCUGUAUCUCUCAAAGAACUCCUCGAAGCUGUAGCGGACGGGGUACCCGGCCUUCCUGAUCUGGAUGGUCUCCAUCAUCCCCGAGUAGCGCAGCUGCUUGAUGCACAGCUCCCGGUCAAACAGCUGCAGGGAAAGCAGGCAGGGAGGAGGCUCAGCACUGAGAAAAGGAAUACCCUGUACUCCAGCUCUCCUUGGGUGCAGCCAAGUACAACUAGAAAAUGUUACACAGAAACUGAGAGCCUUUUCUCCUUACAAACUUUACCAAAGGAUGUUUACCUGUCCGUAGCCAGGUGUUCUGGACAGCAGAAAGCCACACUGGGAUGAAGACAGAGGAAGAAAGGACAGGAUCAGAAAACAAUGCCAGGAGAAUAGACAGGUGCAGGAUGGCAGCCAGCAGCUUGCUGAUGUCCCAGUGCUCAGAGUCUGAGAACAUGAGGAUCUUCAUCGCCGAGCGGAUGUGGGCAUAAUCCUUGGCAUCAUUCCGGCUGUCGCAGGACGUGCAGUCACCCUGCAAGCACCACACCAGCAGGUUCACUGUAUAAAGGGACCCUGCUGUAACUCCAUGUCCAAAUCAGAGGUUUACUCCGGAAGUCACCAUCCCCCGGGAGCUCAGGGUGAACUUUCAGUCAAUCCUGAAAGGCUAAAUCUGGAGGAACCACCCACACAUGAACUAGAUUGAAC